CAAAGCGUAGCUUAACUAAAGCAUCUGACUUACACUCAGAAGAUUUCACAAUAUCGUGACCACUUUGA
RNAcentral lists this transfer RNA (68 nucleotides) under Ochotona thibetana (Moupin pika). Its description in RNAcentral is "tRNA-Val". Lineage: Eukaryota; Metazoa; Chordata; Mammalia; Lagomorpha; Ochotonidae. The record is from RNAcentral.